RNAcentral lists this transfer RNA (72 nucleotides) under Actinomycetota bacterium. RNAcentral describes it as "tRNA-Val". It matches the Rfam family "tRNA". Rfam says of the family: Transfer RNA (tRNA) molecules are approximately 80 nucleotides in length. Their secondary structure includes four short double-helical elements and three loops (D, anti-codon, and T loops). The record is from RNAcentral. Lineage: Bacteria; Bacillati; Actinomycetota. RNAcentral also lists the same sequence under 1 other name.
GGGCGCUUAGCUCAGUGGAAGAGCGUCUCCCUUACAAGGAGAAGGUCGGGGGUUCGAGCCCCUCAGCGCCCA